Molecule: ribosomal RNA, 274 nt
Filed under: uncultured bacterium
Lineage: Bacteria
Description: partial 16S ribosomal RNA
Rfam family: Bacterial small subunit ribosomal RNA
Source: RNAcentral
AUACGGAGGGGGCUAGCGUUGUUCGGAUUUACUGGGCGUAAAGCGCGCGUAGGCGGUAUAUCAAGUUAGGCGUGAAAGCCCUGGGCUUAACCUGGGAAUUGCAUUCGAUACUGUCUGGCUAGAGUAUGGGAGAGGGAAGCGGAAUUUCCGGUGUAGCGGUGAAAUGCGUAGAUAUCGGAAGGAACACCAGUGGCGAAGGCGGCUUCCUGGACCAAUACUGACGCUGAGGCGCGAAAGCGUGGGGAGCAAACAGGAUUAGAUACCCGAGUAGUCC